CGCACAUUGCGCCCCUUGGUAUUCCAUUGGGCAUGCCUGUUCGAGCGUCAUAUGCCGCCUCAAGCAUCGUCUUGGUAUUGGGUGUUGUUGCGUCUCUAUGCAACUCGCCCCAAAGCUAUUGGUUAUAGCUACCUGGCUCUACGUGCAGCACAUUUGCACGGAAGCUCGUGUAGCUAAUACGCCACAAAUGCCCUUUUGUCUGACCUCGAAUCAGGUAGGAAUACCCGCUGAACUUAA
This 237-nucleotide unclassified non-coding RNA is filed under the name Dictyosporium tratense. RNAcentral's name for it is "partial contains 5.8S ribosomal RNA, internal transcribed spacer 2, and large subunit ribosomal RNA". The record is from RNAcentral. Lineage: Eukaryota; Fungi; Ascomycota; Dothideomycetes; Pleosporales; Dictyosporiaceae.